Molecule: long non-coding RNA, 1138 nt
Filed under: Mus musculus (house mouse)
Lineage: Eukaryota; Metazoa; Chordata; Mammalia; Rodentia; Muridae
Description: predicted gene 45686
Source: RNAcentral
UUUUAUAGCCACUUCUGUGUGCCCGCUGACCAGUUCCAUCUCAGCAGAGCGUACACAAGCUUGCCUGCAGCACAGCAAGGGCUCUGCCCCCUUUACUACAAGCAGGCAAUCUCCCCUGUGCUUUCUUUUCUCCAUUCUUUCCACAGAGAAGAAGCUGGUCACGCUUCCAUCACCUCCACUCAUUUUAUUUCAAGAAGAGAAAAACUGGAGGACGUUUGCAUAAUUCCAUUCCACCAAUCCUGCUUCUGUGGUGCCUCGUCAGUGACCAAAUGCAUCGCUUCAUCUCCUCAGUGCUGAUCAUUACACCUCUGCGCUGCCAGGCCACAUCAAGCAGCAGGGCUGCCUUCCACUACAACACCAACUCCAGAAAGAAUGUGAUUACAUUGACCUUGCCCCUCCUCAAAACAAUGCUCUGUUCUCUCCCUGGGAGCCCAGGAAGGGACCACACUCAACUCAUCUCUUAAAAGAAGAUAGGUCAACCUCUCUAGUAACGCCCACCACCACCCCUCAGUGUUUAAUGCUAACCACUCAAAUUGUAAAGGGGGCACUAGCUUUCUAACAAGCCCCCAGACAAGGCUGUGUGUCUGCAGUUCCUCCUGUGCCUCUGAUAAGCACAACUGCUCAGAGUCUAGUCAGGGAACGCUCAUACCAGAGAAGACUGGAUCCCCACAGGGACCCAAUGGUAGAUGCUCCAGCCCACCUGAGUUAAUAACUUGUCUCCCUGGUGUGCCGCUUAUAGAAACAACUGAGAGAGGAAGAGUUUGUUUUGACUUACAGUUUGGAAGAUGUAAUCCCUAAUAGCAAACAAAUGGAACAGACCCUGUCCAUGACAUGUGGAGCUUGAGGCUGGUCAUCUCCUAAAGAUCCUAUACCUUUCCCGAUCCGUUCUACCAACUGGGUGGCAAACAUUUAAGCACGUGAGUCUGUGGAAGACAUUUUACAUUCAAACAUGACCCAAGUUUCCCCAGGUUCUAGUCAUCAGCCAGUCUCCAAGAAGAGAAACAUAGGGGGUGUGGCUGCAACUGUCUGUUCGAGGGAACCCUACAGUGAACAAUGAACUGCUACAGUCACAAGGUGUGCCGUGUAGCAAACACCUGCAUGCUCAGAGGCUUAAAGAACGGAUGCUGGUCUAGCUCAU